UUGGCCUACGGGAGGCAGCAGUGAGGAAUAUUGGUCAAUGGCCGCAGGGCUGAACCAGCCAAGUCGCGUGAGGGAUGACGGUCCUAUGGAUUGUAAACCUCUUUUGUCAGGGAGCAAAGGGCGCCACGUGUGGCGCUUUGCGAGUACCUGAAGAAAAAGCAUCGGCUAACUCCGUGCCAGCAGCCGCGGUAAUACGGAGGAUCCGAGCGUUAUCCGGAUUUAUUGGGUUUAAAGGGAGCGUAGGUGGAUUGUUAAGUCAGUUGUGAAAGUUUGCGGCUCAACCGUAAAAUUGCAGUUGAAACUGG
RNAcentral lists this ribosomal RNA (305 nucleotides) under uncultured bacterium. RNAcentral's name for it is "bacterial SSU rRNA". It matches the Rfam family "Bacterial small subunit ribosomal RNA", at positions 334 to 636 of the family's 1533-position model. The record is from RNAcentral.